Long non-coding RNA from Dromaius novaehollandiae (emu), 1652 nucleotides. RefSeq lists it as uncharacterized. The record is from RefSeq and is a predicted model, not a curated record. Lineage: Eukaryota; Metazoa; Chordata; Aves; Casuariiformes; Dromaiidae. The transcript is spliced from 5 exons.
GAGGAGCCGUGCGCGCUGCGCGCAGACGUCGCGCCGCUCCGCCUGGGUCACGGCGGACCGCCCGCAGCGGGAAUAAGGUAGCAGCAGAAAAACGCCUUCCAGCACUCAGAUACUUCACAGCUAUCCCAGUAAUCUGCUGUGCUGGGUACUUCGGUGUAUUAUGUUAGCAGCACAGCCAGACAUGAGAAAAAUAAGACUGAGCAAAAGUGAUUUAUUAUAGAAGCCAAAUGGAAUUGAACACGUGUCACAGUUCUGAAGCUUAUCACAGCCUGUUUAAAGAAGAGCAGUUCGCAAGUCCCCUUUGGUCGACUCCCGAUUGACACGAGGAACGCCAAAGAGGAAGAAGGCAGAUGAAUGAUAAACAGGUGGAUGAAACAAUGACCUGGUAUGAACACAGAGUAACAGACAGCUUCAGCUACUACAGUCAAAAAGGCAUCCGUGAAAAGGUCUGUUUGCUUGCUUGGACACUGUUGCACUGUAGUCACCGAUGUUAGUGAUUCUGUGGAAGAAGCUCGUUAAAGCAUAUGCAGAGAUGACUUUAAGUCUAUGCCUGGACAUGGCUUGAUAUUUUAACAUGGCUGUCUGAUUCAGCACUGAAAUUUGGAAGCCUGAUCUUGCAUUUUUUUUCUUUCCCUGUCAUUAAUAAAAAUGUAAAUUACAGGGUAUAUUUGAUUUCAGAAUCUGCAGAGAAAGCCAUGUCUUCAAGUCUGUAUUUUAGUGUUUGGUUUUUUUAAUGCAGUUGUAUUUUUAUAUGUUUACUCUGAAGUCAUCAGCAUCUGAAAUGCAUCAACUUUUUACUGGAAGACCUUUGCUUUUCAAAGAAAGAGAGAGUUUUCAGUAUUGCUGAGACCCAUUUCACCAUUUUUGUUUUAGAACAUUUGAGGAAGAAAUGCCCAAGUUCCUCAAACAUCAGAGGGGACUUUAGAAGGAAGAACAAGAAUGAUGGUUUUAAGACAAUCAAUACCACAGAGUGGCUUCAGUUUGGGAUUCUGAUCUCCUAAGAGAAUUCUGCUUUUUACAGGAGUUUAUCUUCAAAUUUCUGUAGUAUGCCAUGUAAAACAAUAUUGACUUUCUUCUGCACUUGUUUUCUGUAUGCUCUUUUUAUCAUACAUUUAACAACAUUCAGUUUUAAAAUAUUUAAUGUUUAAAAUAUUUGGAUGCUGUGGGCACUCAUGGGGCAUAACUUUCUACUUCUAGUGAAAUCAUUGACUCGUAGAACUCUAAUUAUAUGAGGAUUACAGUUUCAGAAACUUCUUGACAACUCCAAAAUUAAGUGUUGACUGCAGUAUCCUGACAAAAUUUCAUAUUGGUAUACCUACUUAAAAAUUUAUGUUUUCUCCCUGCUAAAUGGAAUGUUUAUUUUGCAUCAUUUAUUUGUGCUAAACAUUUAUUUGUACUGAUAAACAAUAACCAUACUGUACCACAGACGUGACUGUAUCUUAAUGUUACAUGAAAUAAUUCCUUACUAAUUCUAAUGUUUCUUGGAAAGAUAAAGAUCAACGAAGAUGACAAAGCUUGGUGCACGCAUUGUAUUUGAAUAAUUCCUACUCAGCCUGUUUAAUGUAUGUUUCUUGUUGAACACUUUGUGUAGGUUGAAGAUAUUUGUGUCUGUGCAUGACUGGAAGUAUAAUUAGAAACGAAAUGAAUUCUAA